UGUAGUUUUGUGAAGGCUAAAAUGACACAUGCUUGUAGAAUAUGGAUGUGGGGACACUUGUGGGUGUUUGGUUAUAAUUGUUUCAUUCAUACCGAACAACCUGUAUGCCCUGUAGGAUGAAAGAUUUAUAUAAGGAAUUUUCUUUCUGAGACCCCUCAAGGUACCAUUAAGUUUGCACCCACUUUUUUUUUUUUCACAUGCCAGUCUUGCAGAGUUGUUAAAUGGAAUAUGUUAGGAUAAGUUAGAGAACUUACACAACUGCUGAAAAAAAAGUGUAUGACAUCAUGAAAACUUCCAUUAAUUAACUUGUCAGUGGGGCAAAAUGGUGAAAUCAAGUUGGACAACAUUCAAAUAAGUGUGUCUCACCAUCGUUUUUGCUUUAACCUUCUCCUUCUCCCUCAAUAGCUUCUCCAGUUCACCCCAAAAAUUUAACAAACUGACCCGAAACCCUCUCUCUUGCCUUCCCUUCCAAUGACGUGACAUGACCCGCAAUGUCUCCUCCGGUGGCCUCCGCCGUCGGAACACCCUCAACCUUCACCGUUAACCUCCCUCCUCCUUUAUCCAGAUGGCCACCCUUCUUCCCUUUCCCUCCUCCCGCCUCCCACAAAUCCCAUGACUCGCCCCUGGACCUUAGUAGUCACCUCUACAACCCCCCAUCGCCUUCUCCUCCACCCCUCCUUCCUCUGCUGGACACUCACUUUUUUUCCACCCUCCUACAACCCAAAAUUCUUCCCCUAUCGGCCUUUGUCCGCCGAGACUGUUAGAUACUGAGAUUCAAAAGUGGUAAUGUUGUGUGGUUGGCUCGUUUCUAGGCAGCAGGAGACCACCGUUCAUCAUUGUAAAAUCUUCCCUGGAAAAGCAAUGGAAGCCAGUCUGUGCCGUGUGCACCUUUAUGCUUGAUAAUGGGACUUUCAUAUUCAAGUUCGACUCUGAAAUUGAUAAAGCCUUCGCUGUUGAUGGUGGACCUUGGCAUGUUGGAAAGAAACCGAUAUUUCUCAAGCAGUGGGAUGCUUACAUGUCGUUCUCUAAGAUGGAACCCACCUCUAUUCCUCUCUUGGUGACUUUCCCCAAUCUGCCUCUUCAUUAUUGGUGCGUGAAAGGCCUUAGCUUGGUUGGAUCUCUUAUUAGUAAACCAUUAUACUCUGACAAACGUACCGAGACCAUGGACAGACUGUCGUUUGCAAGAAUCUGUAUAGAGGUGGAAGCCGAUCAUGUUCUCCCAUCUUCAGUAAAAAAAUUUGAAGGGGAAGAUUAUUUAUUCACCCAAGAAGUCCAAUACGACUGGCGGCCCCCCUUGCACAAUCUGUAAGUGCUUCGGACACAAAGCAGAGACAUGCAACUUCGUCACCCAGGAUGUCCUCGUUCCAGCCUCUGAACAUGAACACUCGAGUGAACGCGCUCCAGCAGAUGCUCAAACCCACUGUGAAUCUCGAUCUCAAUUCUGACUGAUCCCAGCAAUCCACCUUCUCGGUGAAGAUCUCUAAGAAGAUCAAACGGAAAAGGCCCCAGAAGACCCUGUCGUCGACCUUUGUCCUUAGUUCUGGCCCCCUCCCGACGGAUCCUAUGCUACCAUUAACCGUUGGUCCAACACCUCCAACUUUGCCCAUUGGUCCUAACCCUUUCUCGGUGUUGGACUUGUCAAAUCUUGAUGGAACUACUCACCAACCUUCUGAAUCCUUGACUAACAAUCCUAGGCGCAAUCUCCCUCCUCUUCUUCCUCUCUUUGCUUCUGCCGCCGAUACCUUAUCCUCGCUGACAUUAAACUCAAACCCCUUCCCCUCCUCUAGUUAACCUUCUUAUGGUCUUGAGACUUAUCGGUCCACCCUCGAAUCGGUCCAAUCCUCAUCAGGGAAUCCUUCCCUUGCCACCAAUUCAAACCGGUCCACCCAUGGCCCGCCUUUCAUCCCGUUAAAUCAAUUUUUGCCGGUUCACCAUCUUAUCGAUUCUUUAAAUACCCGAAGGAUCACCCCUAAUACCCAAGUAAUCUUUACAACCUGACCCACCAUCUCAACCAAACCAACCCACCCACCUCCUCACCUAACCAUUUAAACAUUACCUAUCUACCCGGUUGCCCAUGAAAACUGGUUCUCCUUUAAUUUAUAGCCCUGGAGCCAACUCCAGACUCACUAGUGACUCGACCUCUGUUUCUCUGGCUUCUUCUGCAGCUCUCAGUACUAUCCCGUCAUCCUUGCCCUUCUUCCUCUCGCCCCUGCCCUGCCACAACAUCAUCUUCGGCGUCCUCUGAAGACUGUCUCCAAGCAUCUCAGCUGCCCUGCUAUUCAAGCCCUAAUCAUCCCAGCUACUCUACCCAAAGCACCAUUGAAGGCCCCAUCACAACUCCCCUUGUUAUAGACUCCUCUCGGCAACCUCUGCAACCAAAUGUCCUUGUUGCUACUGCCAUUGAUAACAAUGAUGCCUCCCUCAAUAUGUGCAAUUCAUUGUAAAACCAUCCAAAAGGAAAACCUUUGGUUGGCACUCUUCAUCUUAUGCCCCCACCAUACUGAACCCGACCACCAUCACCACCCCAUCGACCACUAAUAGCCCCUCAUCCACCAUAACCAACCAAAAGAAAACAAGCAAAAAAUCUUCCAUUAAAACUAGAUCUUCUUCCCCAACCACCUUCUCUAUCAUUGGCUAUAGCUGUCGACCUCCCGCCUGGGUCCCCCCAUUCCCAAGACCCCUCGUUGCUCCACCAAACGUUCGAUGCCCCCCACUCUCGGUUCCAUAUGAUUCCUUAGACCAUAUAGAAUGUCCGAGGUCUCAAUUCUUUGGCCAAACAAGUAGAUAUUAGAUCUCUCAUUCGCUCCUCUAAAACCAACCUCUGUUGCCUUCUGGUAACUUACGUUUUGGAAGCCAAUGCCUCCCGGAUCGCUUCCUCGAUCGCUCCCUCUUGGGCUUUCGUUUCUAGUUAUCUCCAGAGCCCCAAUGGGAGGAUUUGGAUCCUUUGGGAUCCCUGUUUUCUAUCCAUCUCCACUCUCUCCUUUGCCUAGGCCAUUCACUUGUCUAUCUCUCAUCACUAUGGCCCCUUCAUAUGCUUCCUCUCAAUCAUCUAUGCCUUAAACUGGGGCCCCCAAAGGCUUCCCCUCUAGGCUGACCUGCUCUUCUUCACCCCCUUCACUAGAUCUAGUCCUUGGGGCAUUACGGGAGACUUCAAUGUCACUUGUUCUAGCCACGAAAAACAUGGAGGAAACCCUAUUGAUUCCUCGUCCAUUAAAUCUUUUAACGAUUGUAUUAAAGAUCUAAAUCUCAUUGACCUCCGUUGGUCAGGUGCCAAAUUUACUAGGCAUAACAGGAUAUCAGGAAAUUCAAGGGUGGCAUGCAAGUUCGACCAAGUCCUUGUCAAUGAAGCCUGGCUUGAUUCUUUUCCAUCUUCGCAUACUACCGUUGGUCUUUAUAGUAUCUUUGAUCACAGCCCCAUCUCUAUCCAUGUUCUCCCCUUUCAUACCUUUGGCCUUAAACCUAAAAAGUUCUUUGAUAUGUGGGUCUCCCAUUCAGACUUCUUCCCUCUUGUCCAGAAUGCUUGGAAUAUGCCCACCCCUUGCUCUCUUUCCCCCCUUUUGGAUUUUGCCAAAAAGCUCAAGAAUGUGAAAGCUUCCCUCAAACUUUAGAAUUCCUCAACUUUCGGGAACAUAUCCUCUCGGGUUGCUUCCUGUCGAGAUAGUCCUCUCCAUCCAAGGUAGACUUUAGUAGGAUCUCCUUAAUCCUGCCCUGGCUGAGGAGGAGAAAGCGUCUGCCUCUGAGUUAUCUCUGGCUCUUUGCCAAGAGGAAACUUUCCUCUGACAAAAAGCCCACAUCAAAUGGAUUGAGCAAGGAGACUCCCAUUCUGCUUACUUCCAUUGUUCUCUCAAAUCUAGGAACAACGUUAAUGCCAUCCCUAAGCUCAUCUUCUCCUCUGAGGUUGAGCUCCUCUCCCCUGAUCUCUUCAAGUUUGAAGCGACCUCUUAUUUUCAGAGAACUCUUUAGUCCUUCCCCUCCCACCCCCCAUUCCCCUUGAUCUUAUUAAUAAUUUUGUCCCCUCUGAGCUCUUCCGCCCCUCCAAUCCAUCCCCAAUUAUGAGGAAAUCCUUGUGGCCAUUCUUUCCCAUAAGGCCAAUAAAGCCCCAGGUCCCGAUGGCUUUAGCAUGGGUUUCUUCUCCGCUUGCUGUAACAUCAUUCGAAAUGACCUCAUUCAAGCGGUGCGCAGUUUCUUUUUAAAUCCCAAUCAAAUAGGUGGGACCAAUCACACUUUCCUUUGCUUAAUCCCAAUAAAGGAAGGAGCAGUGUAUGAGUGACUUCAAACCCAUUUCCCUGUGUAAUCUCCUCUACAAGAUGAUUUCCAAAAUCAUAGCCAAUAGGAUUCAAAAAGUCAUUGAUCGACUCUCUUGUUAGUCCCAAUCAAUCCGCUUUCAUUGCUGGAAGGAGCAUCUCUGACAAUAUCUUCCUCUGUCAUGAAAUUGUCCAUGGUUUUGACCGCAAGUCUCACUCCCCUACAGCCCUCCUCAAGAUUGACAUUUAUAAAGCUUUUGAUACGAUCAUUUGACGUUUCACCUCUAAUGUGUUGACUCUCAUGUCCUUCCCUCCCUCCACCGUUUGUUGGAUUCCACUUGUAUUUCGACCCCUUGUUUCUUUAUCCUUGUGAAUGUUAAUCCGGUUGGGAAGCAGGGUACUUUCCCUCUGGUUGUGGUAUCCGUUAGGGAUGUCCCCUCUCCCCGCUCCCUCUUCUCCAUAUCACUUGAGGUUCUUUCCCGCUGCCCUCACCAUCUCCACUAUCAUGGAUUCCCUCCAUUCCUUUGAAUCUCUUUCGGGUCUCAGUAUCAACCUCCUUAAAUCCAACAUGUUUCUCUCUGGAGUCCCGCCCGAUGUCUAAAAUAUCCUCAAAAUCUCUGGAAUCCCUCUUGGCUAGCUGCCUGUUAAAUACUUGGGCCUCACCCCUUAUUUCCUCCAGGCUGUCUUCGCACUAUUGCACCCCCUUGCUUGAUAAAUUGAGGAAGAGGCUUCAGUUUUUUAAAGCCAAACUCUUCUCCUUCGCUGGUUGUCUCACUCUCAUCAGAUUGAUCCUCCAGCCUAUGUACCUCUAUUAGUCUGGCACUUUUAUCCUUCCUGUCUCUGUGAUCAAGUUUUUUGAAAGUCUCAUCUGCUCCUUCCUCUGGAAAUGUUCUAACUCCUUUAAAUUCCUUUGCCCUCUUAGCUGGAAGAAUGUCUUCCUUCCAAAAUCUGAGGGAGGACUUGGAAUUAGGAGAAUCAAGGACGCCAACUCUGUCGUGUUUCUCAAGCUCAUCUGGAAAAUUGUGUCCAAGCACAAAAGCAUAUGGGUUUAUUGGAUCCACUCUGGGUUCCUCAAGCACAACUCGCUCUAGACUGCCACUCACAUUCCUGAUGCAUCUUGGAUAUGGCGAAAGAUCCAUGAUCAUAGACCCAUAGCCCUUUCUGUCACUCCAUCGGCAAUGGUCUGUCCACUUCUCUUUGGAAAGACCUUUAGCAUCCUGCCUGCAUCCUCUCCCACUUGACAUCUCCCAGAAUCAUCUAUUCCUCGGGUCUUCCUGCCAACACUCUUGUCUCCUCUAUUCUUUCCCCCUUGGGUUGGUCCCCCCAUCUUCUUCUCAGCCUCCUCUUCUUAAUCUUUGGACCGCCCUCCCUCCUCUACCCCCUGGCCACAGAGGUAGAGAGGAUAAGUGCAGAUGGCUCCCCACCUCUGGGAUCUUUUCGUCUGCCUUGGCUUGGUCCAACAUUCAUACCCUAACCCCCAUAGUUCCUUGGCACAAGUUGAUUUGGUUUAAAGGCCAUAUUCCUCGCCAAAGUUUCACCCUCUGGCGUUACCUUUCUAUCUCCCCACCCAAUCCUUCCUCAUUCACCGGCAGAUCCCUGCCAACCCCUCCUGCUGUCUCUGCCCCAGGGUGUGGAGGAUAUCCCUCAUUUUUUCUUUUCUUGUCCUCUCUUCUUCUGUCUGAAAGCUUGUCCUCUCCAAGUGCUGGCCGGUUAGGAGACCCAUUCUUCCCUCCUCUAGGGAGUGGAAUUGGAUUGACAUGACCUUUUGGGGCUCUUCCAUCUGCGAUACUGUUGGUAAAUUGGCUUUCUCUGCAACCAUUAAUCACCUUUGGAUGGAACGUAACAUCCUUAGAUGGACCCGAAAUAUCGCUCGCAGGAGGAGAUUUGGAAAGCUAUCUACUUUGAUGUCACUUCCAAAAUCCCUACCCUUCAUGGCCACCCAGUUGCCAACUCCCUUAGAAAUGUCCACAUCAUCACCUCUUGGAACCUGAGGGUGAAAACCAUCCCUCCUUCUAAAGCCACCAUUGUCCCUCCUAUGCCUAGAAGAAGCCUACCCCUCCUCCCCCCUCCCUCCUCCCUCCUCCCUCCUCCCUCCUCCCCUAUCCUUGGGUUGGUUUUGUUGAUUUUAGUCUUGCUUGUUGGUUGUAUUAAGCUUUUUUCUCCUUUCGUUUGCUGCAGUUUGUCUUUAGUUGGCUUUUCCUUGUUGGCUUAAGGCUUCUCCUCCCCCCCAUCUCCUUCGUAUAUUCUUCUCCUUGCUUGGUAAUGAAUUAUUUAUUCAUCCAAAAAAAAAAAAAAGUUCACCCCAACUCCUCUUAUCACUCUCUAUGAUAUAUUAAUCCAACCCCAGUGCGCUAAUCCCCCCCUCCUUUAUCUCCAGUGUCUAACUUGCAUUUAUAUCCUGUUAAGUAACCUAGAGUACCCAUGCUGUCGGGCGAGGUUUUAAUCUUGAGCCUUUGGGAUCCAAGUCCAACACUCAUAAGAGUUGAGUUGAAAUCCUAGAAGGCAUUGAUCCAUAAUUGGGGAUUCUAACUUACCCAUCCCAGAUAUGAUGCAAAAGCGUACGUGUGUAGCAUCAUUUUUAUAUGAUGUCAUAUGUCUUUAAUAUCCCUACCCUGGAUGGUAAGGAGACGAAACUCUUGGCAUACCUGCAGUUCAGCUGAUCAAUUAUCUGUGGCUUGAAGAGAGUAUCUCUUAUUGGAACCAUUAAUGAUAUCAAGAGCUACUCUACGAACCUAAUCAUCAAAUACGAGAUUUCAGAUCUCCUUUAACAUCGAGAUUUCCCUGUUGGAUCAAUUCCUUGUUGAUGAGUUCUUGUAAGCAGUCCAUGGAAGCUUCUGUUACUAUUUUCUUUGGAGUUCUGCAUCAUAGCUGAGUAAUACUGCUUUGAGUAUUGUAUCAUCUCUAAUAAGAUUUAUCUAAUUCCUCUCAUUGGCAAAGACAUUUUCCCCAAACGUCAGGGCUGCUCUUUCCCCUCAAGACCCCUCAGCAAGAAACCUGAUCACAAAAGGCAAUUACCUAAUUUUCAUGUGAUCCCUCUUGGACAAGUCCCGGGAGGGCAGAAGGCUGUGUAUUUGGAAAUUGGACCAAUUUGCAGAACAGAGUUGUUUGGAACCUGCAAAUGGAUGGUCAACCUUCAAUCUGACCUCACUCUUUUUAUUUCUUUUUGGUAAUAUCAAUCUGAGCUCACUCGAGUCUUGAAAAAUUUCUGAUUUUGGCCAAGGACGCACGACAGGGCAUGCGUGAGCAGUUGAACCAUAAAAUGAGGCCAAACCAUCUUUCGGAAUUGCUCUUCUUUGUGGGGAUGAAGAGAAAAGGAGGGCUCAGAGGAUUAAGUUUCAGGUUUAUUCAAUUUACUUGGAGGUAUUUAUUCCUCUUUUGUUCCUGGGUUCCUGAGUAUGUCCAUCUCAAUAAUUUCAUCAAUUACAGGGAGAGAGCAGGCUUUGGCAAGCUCAAAAUGAUGACAAAGGAAUCAAGAUAGGAUAUAGCUCGUGACCGUGAGAGGACCGGAUUACAUUAAUACCCUUUGUCAUCUACAAACCAGUCACUUCCAAAUGAAUUUAAAUUUCCUAUUUUACCCUUAAUCUGAAGUACCUUUUGAAAUAAGACAAGGGACUUGCAUCUUGCUUGGAAAGAACUGUCGCCGAAGAAACUUAAUAUUCACCAUUGUCACUGACUCAUACAUUCUCUUAUAGUCUCCCAUCUUUCUCAUGCAGACUCAAUGUCUCCCACUGAAACUAGCACCUUAUCCUUGACCACCCUUCGCAGCACUUUUUUUUUUUACUAUCACCAACUAUAGAUGCAGCUCAUAUGCUUUCUUUUGUUGUUCGGCUACAACAACAUCACUUGAUUGAAGAAGCCAUUAGCGCCAGAGCAGAUCUGCGGGCUUCUCUUUUAUCAAGAAUUAAAAAAAAAAGAUCCUGUUCUUUGAUAAGCAAAGACAAGGGACAAAUAAAAGGAGGUGAUAUUUCUAAAUACACCUAUAGGGGUAUCAUUCAGACAGUCCCUUUAUUUAAUAUAUUGUUGUAGAUACAUCUCAAUCUGUCUCCUAUGUUUCUUUUAUUGCUUGAACUGAGCUAAAUCACAAUUGCAUUAAAUUUUAUUUAGAGGUUAGGUGAAAUAUUUUAGUCUAAUUGCUGAAUAAGUAUCGAAAUUUUUUGUCCCUAAAAGUUCCACUACCUUUCUAUGACACAUUAAUACAUAUGCGCUUGACAAGGUGGACUUUCAUUUUUAAACGUUACUUUUUCUUCAAAUUCUUGAAAAGUUAAAUGCAGGUUUCCUAAUUCACAUGCACAAAAGUGGCAUUGAUGUUCUGUAUUGUGUGGAAUGAUCAUAUUUUGACAUUCUUUUACUGUAUUUGUAUACUUCUAUGCAUUUAAAGCAUGACAUCUGCACAUGGAGAUACAUUCUGACAUUUAUCUUCUAUUUACUUAAUGAAUUAUCAGUUAAUGUGUAUCUGUCCCACAGACUCACAGUUAUUGACAGUCAGUUUGUCCUAGUAAAGUGCUUCACUUAUAAUUGGGCUUCCUGGAUCUGUUGUACACUAGAAUCAUAAUGAGAUCUUUAUCUUUUCUCUUUCACGUUCCUUUAUGUUCGUUUAUGGGUUUUUGCACAGUAAAAUCAUAAUGAGUUAUUUGUUACAAGUGUAACAAUUUACAAGCUAGAUAUUUCUCUAGCCUCUAUAUUUAUUAACUUUGUUAUUUGCAUAUGUUAUAUAGGAAUACAGGUCUCGAAGGGUGGAGAUUGAAUGCUAAGAACAUUUGAAGAUUGUGACAUCCCUGUUUGAAGCUGCCGGAAGUUUUUCCAUCAGGCUCUCAGCUAAAAUAUAGUUUGCAUUUAGCUAAUAACUUGCAUGGAGAUUACCAGCUUGCUAAUGGUUAUGGGCAUGACAAAGCCAAGAAAGUUCUUAAGGUAACUUUUGUUCUUUUAACUUUUUUGUUUUAAAUUUUUUGUUUUUGGGUCCAAAAUAAGUGAAAGACAGAAUCCUGCGGUUGUGGCCUGUGGGUUCUCCAACCUUGAUAGUUCGUGGAUCUACCAUGGGCUGCUUCUUAGGUGGGGCGUCUAGCAUGAUUUGUAUGUGUCCUGGUUCCCUUAAUGAGAAAAAUAAUAGACAAAUAAAAUUCUCUUGUUUUGCAUGACUUGGCCAAGUCAGCAUCUUAACUGCUUCUGUUACAAGAAGAAUAAUCCUAUAUGGGACAUACAGUUGAGUUGGCUGCUGUCAUUUAACAAGUGUCUAACCUGAUGAUCCCAUCUUUAUCCAAGUGUUGAAAUGGUAAUGUCAUCCUACACUGUACAUAAUUUAAAGGACUACCCUAUAAGAAAGUUGUGUGGGUGGCCUGCCCACCAGCCCACAAAACCUUCUUCCAUCUCUUUUUUUAAUCUCUUGUAAAAAAUUUGGAUGGUUCUGAGCAAUAGCCAUUAUCGUGUAUAGCCUCUACAUUAUGGUAGCCACAUAGUGUUGGGUUAAAGCUCCAUAAGGGAUUAAAGGGAUCUGUAAUCAGUGACUUCCAACUUGUAGCCUUUACUAGUUUUAUUAAAGACUAACCAUUCUAUUAUGUUCAGUGAAUUUUGUCUCUGGAAACUACAGGAACAUAGAAACAACUUUAUCAACCAAAAAGACUUAAUUUUCCUGUGCAAGCAUGGGAUAAAUAUAUCGAGGAUACCAUUCGGUUGGUAGAUUGCCUGGGAUCCAAAUACUCCACCACCACCUUUUAUUGGGGGUUCUCUGGCAGCCCUUGAUAAUGCAUUCUCAUGACACGAUGAAUUAUGGAUGGCUGUAAAAGAAGUCAUAUGUGAGGAUGAUAAGGAACAAUGUCAAUAUGAAUAAGCACUGGUUGCAAUUACAGUUGAGGAGUCUUAGAAGUGGUACUGCCAAUGCAUUGAAAAAUCUGAUUUUUGGUGUGGCGAGUCAGAGUUACUGCCUUACUGGUGAGUAAUUCCAGUUACCAAUCAUCUGACCCGAAUUUUUCUGUCCUUGGGUUUUUGGAUAUUGUUUCCAUUUUUCAGAGUUCCACAAUGUAAUGAUCACUGUGAGGUUUAAUGGACUAUAGUAAUCAGUUUAUUGUGCUAAGAUUCUAAGAAACUUCUACGAUCUGUUCAAUGUAUCUGCAUCAUGUCCCAUUUCCACUCUUAUUUUUCUGCAUUGUGAACUAUAAUUACUUUCAGAAGUAUCUUGAUGUGGCUAUCUCUAUGUUUAGCAACAAUUGGGCUAUUGUCUGAUUUUUAUUGGCUAGUAGAAAGGUGGCGGUUAUUGGGUUGUUUAAGUUAUGAUAAUUAUAUGGUUGAUGCAUCUGCCAUUUUCUUUCUCUUAAAUGAAAUCAUCAUCAACUAUUAGGUGCCAUUUUGGGAUAAACCUACAUUAGACUAGGAUAUCAUACUCCUAUGAGAUCUUGUGAAUCUAGACAAGGAAAAGAAUGUUGGGAAUCUGUUGGAAAUGGAAUGUUUACUUAAUAUAAAUCUUCUAUGAAUCUGGCUUUCUUCCGUUUCCCACAUCAUAGCUAAUUGGGCUGGCAAAAAUUAGGGUGAAUAUGGCUGACUGGCUUGUUUGAAUGCAUAAGAUAGACUCGAGUGAACAACUUGGCAUCCCAACGGUGAGGUUGAAUGCGAAGCUGAGCACUUACCAUCCAUUCAAUAGGCAAGCAAUCUCUUAGCAGUACAGGACAUUUUAUUUUCUUGUGUGAAUCGAGAUAGGUUUGACUCCGCUUGAGUGCCCCAAUUGGCAUCCGACCCAUGGGGUUGACAUGAGUGAAGCACUCAACAUCCCAUGGUGAAGGCAACCAGUCUCUUAGCAGCAUAGGGCAUUUUAUUUUCUGAUUAAAAUAAACAAUCUUUCAGUGUGCCCCCUUGAUCCUAGUGGUCACUUUGGUGCUAAAUCCUUGUUUUCCUAUCUCAUCUAAUGUAGAUCGAUGGAGGCUCAUGAGAAACCAGUGUAUUUGGGCCAUAUUCUGACAACACUUGGGCUAUAGCUCUCCAAACAGAUUUUAUCAGAUCUGUGGGCACAUAUGGCCUUGUGUGGGAAGGACUCCUUCAAGAAGAUUUUGCUUUAAUUAGUUUCUAAUUCUGUUUUAAAGAGAUAUAGGCUAGAUUGUAUUGGAUAGCUAAGAAUUUGUUUCCUUUUUAUUAGUUUCUAAAAAAUGGGAUCUGUGCGUCUGUGUGUAUGAGUGAGAAAGAAAGAGAGCGAGAGAAGGAGAGAGAGGGCAGGGAUCUUGGGGUCUUGAAUGGCAGAGAUAAUGAUAGGUUUGAGGGGGUGAAAAUCUUCACCAGGUUCGCACACGGGGUAGCAAAAAGAUUGCAGGACAAACAAGCUGUGUGGAAUGUAAUCAUAGCAGGGGAGAGUACUGGAGCGGGAGAUGUAGAGAGAGUUUUGGGGGGGGGGAGAAAAAGAGAAAGUGGGGGCCCUAGUUACAGAAGAUGUUCCCGGAAGAUUCUUCCAUCAUCUUUCCAUCCUGCGGCAAGGGUGAGACUGAGUGAGAUGAUGAAUUUUCUGUUCUCCAAACACAGCCUAAUGUAAAAGCCCCAUAUCGUCAAUCUCAAACACUGAGUCAAUGAGUCGGAGUUUGCCGCUAUCAGGCCACUUGUGUCAGUGACUCGGUGUUGAGUCUAUUGACCAAAUAGAAAUGAGAAACGAAUUAUCUUACAUCGAAGAAUUACAAACUUCCAGUUCUAUAAUUCAAAGUUUUUCUCUAGUCUGAGAAAAUCCUAAUUCUUUUCUGAGAUAAACCCUAAUUUUUUUUUUGAGUUAAAGUGGUCUCCCUCAACUUCCCAACUGUUGGUACAUUUGCAUCUUUUCCCAUUACAACCCCAGUUAGUCAUUAACUGCAGUGCUGUGGUAACACAAAUGCCAUUAUAUGGUGUGCGGUUUUACAGUUUUGAAAUUUGUCUCCCUCAUUGCUGCCAUUGUUUUUACAUGUCUUUCUGCAAUCCGUAGAGAAGACAUGGUGAAUGUCCAACAAGAUCGAAUGCAGUUCUCAGAGGAGCCUUACAUUGAAGAUGUCGGUCCCGGAAAAUAAAGAGUAUUAAGUUUUCAAUGUUCUCUGGAGAUGAAAUAAAUAAAGCAGCUGAGGUGCAAGCCCACAAGAGUUGAUACUAUAAUGGAGUCAGUAUGACAACUGAAAAAGGACUGUUGGAUUCCCGAAUGCAUUGAAGAUGAUAUUACUAUGAAAUUAUGUAUGUUUAUUAGAGAAAUUGCUUCUCUACGACAGAGUUUACAAGGUGUAAGUAUGAUAAAAGUGCCUUGACUUAGAUACUUUUCUACUUUACCCUCGGAUUUUUUUUUUUUUUGGGAGGGGAGUUGGGAUUUUGUACCUUUGGGUUAAACACGGAAUAUGACUUUAAAUAGAGUCUAAGGGUAAAUCAUGAUUUGUUCAAUUGAUCCCAUUUAGUAGGGAAGGGGGGAUUCUGUACCUUUGGGUUAACACGAAAUAUGACUUUCAAU
This is a long non-coding RNA of Macadamia integrifolia, 12675 nucleotides long. RefSeq lists it as uncharacterized. The record is from RefSeq and is a predicted model, not a curated record. Lineage: Eukaryota; Viridiplantae; Streptophyta; Magnoliopsida; Proteales; Proteaceae. The transcript has 6 exons.